AUGUGCAUUCCAAAGGAGAAAGGAGCAAUGGGUUUCCGUGAUAUACACAAUUUUAACUUGGCGCUUCUAGCAAAAAAAUGUUGGAGACUCAUUGAGUACCAUGAAUCACUAUGUGCAAGGGUCUUGCGUGCUAAAUAUUACCCUAGUGGCGAAUUACUAAACUGCAGUCUGAAGAAAGGCUCUUCAUUUGUGUGGCAGAGUAUAUGGGCAUGA
RNAcentral lists this ribosomal RNA (213 nucleotides) under Triticum aestivum (bread wheat). RNAcentral's name for it is "partial small subunit ribosomal RNA". The record is from RNAcentral. Lineage: Eukaryota; Viridiplantae; Streptophyta; Magnoliopsida; Poales; Poaceae.